GCCGGUUAAAGCCCAGCCUAAGCAGAGUAAGCCUCAGGGCCUGUGAUCGGAAGGUCGCCGGUUAAUGCCCAGCCUCAGGAGAGUGAGCUUCUGCGCCUGUGAUCGGAAGGUCCCCAAUUUACGCCAAUCCUCAGCAGAGUGAGCCUAUGCGCCUGUGAUCGGAAGGUCACCGGUUUAUGCCGAGCCUCAGUACAGUGAGCCUCUGGGCCUGUGAUCGGAAGAUCGCCGGUUUAUGCCCAGCCUCAGCAGAGUAAGCCUCAGGGCCUGUGAUCGGAAGGUUGCCGGUUUAUGCCCAGCCUCAGCAGAGUAAGCCUCUGGGCCUGUAAUCGGAAGGUCGGCAAUUUACGCCCAAAAUCAGCAGAGUGAGCCUCUGCGCCUGUGAUCGGAAGGUCGCCGGUUGAUGCCGAGCCUCAGUUCACUGAGCCUCUGGGCCUGUAAUCGGAAGGUUGCCGGUUUAUGCCCAGCCUCAGCAGAGUAAGCUUCAGGGCCUGUGAUCGGAAGGUUGCCGGUUUAUGCCCAGCCUCAGCAAAGUAAGCCUCUGGGCCUGUGAUCGGAAGGUUGCCGGUUUAUGCCCAGCCUCAGCAGAGUAAGCCUCUGGGCCUGUGAUCGGAAGGUCGCCAAUUUACGCCCAGCCUCAGCAGAGUAAGCCUCUGGGUCUGUGAUCGGAAGGUCGCCGAUUUACGCCCAGCCUCAGCAGAGUGAGCCUCUGGGCCUGUUAUCAGAAGGUCGCCGGUUUAUGCACAGCCUCAGCAGAGUGAGCCUCUGGGCCUGUGAUUGGAAGGUCGCCGGAUUACGCCCAGCCUCAGCAGAGUGAGCCUCUGGGCCUGUGAUCAGAAGAUCGCUGGUUUACGCCCAGCCUCAGCAGAGUGAGCCUCAGGGCCUGUGAUCAGAAGGCUGCAAGUUUAUGCCCAGCCUCAGCAGAGUAAGACUCUGGGCCUGUAAUCAGAAGGUCGCCGGAUUAUGCUCAGCUUCAGCAGAGUGAGCCUCUGGGUCUGUAAUCGGAAGGUCACCGAUUUACACCC
Brienomyrus brachyistius is the source of this 1022-nucleotide long non-coding RNA. RefSeq lists it as uncharacterized. The transcript has 3 exons. NCBI's taxonomy places the organism in Eukaryota, Metazoa, Chordata, Actinopteri, Osteoglossiformes, Mormyridae. The record is from RefSeq and is a predicted model, not a curated record.